Molecule: non-coding RNA, 86 nt
Organism: Colletotrichum gloeosporioides
Lineage: Eukaryota; Fungi; Ascomycota; Sordariomycetes; Glomerellales; Glomerellaceae
Source: Rfam
GGUCUAUUAGUCUAGUUGGUUAGGACGUCGGAUUCUGAUCGCAUCAGUCUCUUCCGUAGGCCCAGGUUCGAAUCCUGGAUGGACCU